Molecule: ribosomal RNA, 495 nt
Filed under: uncultured bacterium
Lineage: Bacteria
Description: partial 16S ribosomal RNA
Rfam family: Bacterial small subunit ribosomal RNA
Source: RNAcentral
GACGAACGCUGGCGGCGUGCCUAAUACAUGCAAGUAGAACGCUGAAGGAGGAGCUUGCUUCUCUGGAUGAGUUGCGAACGGGUGAGUAACGCGUAGGUAACCUGCCUGGUAGCGGGGGAUAACUAUUGGAAACGAUAGCUAAUACCGCAUAAGAGUAGAUGUUGCAUGACAUUUGCUUAAAAGGUGCAAUUGCAUCACUACCAGAUGGACCUGCGUUGUAUUAGCUAGUUGGUGAGGUAACGGCUCACCAAGGCAACGAUACAUAGCCGACCUGAGAGGGUGAUCGGCCACACUGGGACUGAGACACGGCCCAGACUCCUACGGGAGGCAGCAGUAGGGAAUCUUCGGCAAUGGACGGAAGUCUGACCGAGCAACGCCGCGUGAGUGAAGAAGGUUUUCGGAUCGUAAAGCUCUGUUGUAAGAGAAGAGCGAGUGUGAGAGUGGAAAGUUCACACUGUGACGGUAUCUUACCAGAAAGGGACGGCUAACUACGUG